RNAcentral lists this ribosomal RNA (623 nucleotides) under uncultured Lactobacillus sp. RNAcentral's name for it is "bacterial SSU rRNA". It matches the Rfam family "Bacterial small subunit ribosomal RNA", at positions 8 to 592 of the family's 1533-position model. Lineage: Bacteria; Bacillati; Bacillota; Bacilli; Lactobacillales; Lactobacillaceae. The record is from RNAcentral.
AGAGUUUGAUCCUGGCUCAGGACGAACGCUGGCGGCGUGCCUAAUACAUGCAAGUCGAACGCACUCUCGUUAGAUUGAAGAAGCUUGCUUCUGAUUGAUAACAUUUGAGUGAGUGGCGGACGGGUGAGUAACACGUGGGUAACUUGCCCUAAAGUGGGGGAUAACAUUUGGAAACAGAUGCUAAUACCGCAUAAAACCUAGCACCGCAUGGUGCAAGGUUGAAAGAUGGCUUCGGCUAUCACUUUAGGAUGGACCCGCGGUGCAUUAGUUAGUUGGUGAGGUAAAGGCUCACCAAGACCGUGAUGCAUAGCCGACCUGAGAGGGUAAUCGGCCACACUGGGACUGAGACACGGCCCAGACUCCUACGGGAGGCAGCAGUAGGGAAUCUUCCACAAUGGACGAAAGUCUGAUGGAGCAACGCCGCGUGAGUGAAGAAGGUUUUCGGAUCGUAAAACUCUGUUGUUGGAGAAGAACGUAUUUGAUAGUAACUGAUCAGGUAGUGACGGUAUCCAACCAGAAAGCCACGGCUAACUACGUGCCAGCAGCCGCGGUAAUACGUAGGUGGCAAGCGUUGUCCGGAUUUAUUGGGCGUAAAGCGAGCGCAGGCGGUUUCUUAAGUCUGA